AGCGAACGCUGGCGGCAGGCCUAACACAUGCAAGUCGAACGAACCUUUCGGGGUUAGUGGCGGACGGGUGAGUAACACGUGGGAACGUGCCUUUAGGUUCAGAAUAACUCAGGGAAACUUGUGCUAAUACCGAAUGUGCCCUUCGGGGGAAAGAUUAAUCGCCUUUAGAGCGGCCCGCGUCUGAUUAGCUAGUUGGUUGAGGUAAUGGCUCACCAAGGCGACGAUCAGUAGCUGGUCUGAGAGGAUGAUCAGCCACAUUGGGACUGAGACACGGCCCAAACUCCUACGGGAGGCAGCAGUGGGGAAUCUUGCGCAAUGGGCGAAAGCCUGACGCAGCCAUGCCGCGUGAAUGAUGAAGGUCUUAGGAUUGUAAAAUUCUUUCACCGGGGACGAUAAUGACGGUACCCGGAGAAGAAGCCCCGGCUAACUUCGUG
This 434-nucleotide ribosomal RNA is filed under the name uncultured bacterium. RNAcentral's name for it is "partial 16S ribosomal RNA". It matches the Rfam family "Bacterial small subunit ribosomal RNA", at positions 29 to 507 of the family's 1533-position model. The record is from RNAcentral.